CAAGUAUUCAUUAUUGAUUUCGACUCAGUGAUAGGAUUAAUCCGGUACUUAA
This 52-nucleotide transfer RNA is filed under the name Whitmania laevis. RNAcentral's name for it is "tRNA-Arg". The record is from RNAcentral. Lineage: Eukaryota; Metazoa; Annelida; Clitellata; Hirudinida; Haemopidae.